This 62-nucleotide transfer RNA is filed under the name Scutogyrus longicornis. Its description in RNAcentral is "tRNA-Cys". The record is from RNAcentral. Lineage: Eukaryota; Metazoa; Platyhelminthes; Monogenea; Dactylogyridea; Ancyrocephalidae.
AGGGAGGGAGCUUUAAGCACCAGAUUUUGCAAAAAUCUGGGUGAGUUAGUAACUCCCCUCCC